GAUCCUGGCUCGGGAUGAACGCUAGCGGCAGGCUUAACACAUGCAAGUCGAGGGGCAGCAUAAUGGAUAGCAAUACCUAUGGUGGCGACCGGCGCACGGGUCGCGUAACGCGUAUGCAACCUACCUUUAACAGGGGGAUAACACUGAGAAAUUGGUACUAAUACCCCAUAAUAUCAUAGAAGGCAUCUUUUAUGGUUGAAAAUUCCGAUGGUUAGAGAUGGGCAUGCGUUGUAUUAG
This 237-nucleotide ribosomal RNA is filed under the name uncultured bacterium. RNAcentral's name for it is "partial 16S ribosomal RNA". It matches the Rfam family "Bacterial small subunit ribosomal RNA", at positions 15 to 244 of the family's 1533-position model. The record is from RNAcentral.